Molecule: long non-coding RNA, 2391 nt
Filed under: Triticum aestivum (bread wheat)
Lineage: Eukaryota; Viridiplantae; Streptophyta; Magnoliopsida; Poales; Poaceae
Description: long non-coding RNA (TAES_LNC019550)
Source: RNAcentral
UGAGCGCUGGGUCCCGCGCGUCAGCGACCGCCGGACGGGGCCCGCCAUUUUAAGUGGAGACGGACAACAGAAGAUCUGCCUCCCCAAGGCGAAGGCACACUUUGGUAAAGCCGCCAUCGACGUCACCUCCUAUGCCCGCGUAACCGAGCCGCUGGGUCGGCCCACUGCUAUUCCGCGCUCAGUGCGCGCUGUCGCCGCCCAGGUCCAGCCCGUUUGGGUAAAAACCUUUUCCUUUUUCUUUUCUGUACAAUUUGUAAAAUCCAUAAAUAAUUCGAAUUAACUCCAAACUUGAUGAUUCAACUUUCUAGUAGUUUCUAAAUUCAUGCCCUAUCUCAUGGUGCUAUUUGCACAUUUUUUCCAGAAAUAUUUCUUUCACAAAUAAUUAUCAAAUACCAUUUUUCCAUUUCUUUAAUAAACUUUAGAAACUCACAGAGGGCUCAGAUUUGAUCCAAAUGCCAGGAUUCAAAUUCCUGGAUGCUUCUAAGUUCAUAACUUAGUUUAUGAACAUUUUUCUUAAUACUUUUUGUACCACACAAUAUAAUGAGCCAUUUCUUCAUAUUUAUCAACUUUGCAAAUUCAUAGGAAAUUCAUUUGAACUCCAAAUCCAGUGAAACCAACUCCUAGAUGCUUCUAAAAUCAUGAUUUGUUAAAUGGGUGCCUUUGCUCAUUUUUCAAAAAUAUAUUUAUGUACACUUGUUGCAAAUCCAUAAAUCCAUUGAUUCUAUCAUAUUGAAAUACUCAAAAAUAUCCACUGAUCCAGUCCCAAUGAAACCACUCUGAUUAUUUUCUAUAUAACCAGAGAAGUCCUAGAAAAGCCAACUUCAUAUUUUUAGAGCACUUUUACUUUUGCCUGGUUGUGUUCCUUAUUGUGUUUGUUUCUGACAUUAGUUGACGAAGUAGACGGAGUACUUGGAGAAGGACCAGAAGAAUUCAAGACUCUGAUGAAACCAGGCAAGCAGCCCUUUGGCCAUGUCUAUGAAACCCUUUUUAUGCAUGUCAUAUAGCACUUUAUUAGUGUUGCAUCGGAAUCAUGACGAGAUGGUAACCACUUUGGUGGGUUGCCUUCGUUACUUCCUCGUUGAUACUUGCAUUAUGCAUGACCCUACCUUCUUAUGAGGGUUAUGCCGGUGGGAGUAGAUAGGAUGCUAAAGUAGUGGUACGCAAAAGGGGAUGGGUAUAUGCAUGGUGAUGGAAGCAAAAUUAUUUUCAAAGACUUUUCGAAAACCCCGUCGGGUGCCACUUAUGCCCGAAGGAGAUGAUGAGUUGGGUAACCACUUGAUGACGAAGUGUUGUACUGAGGCAAGUGUGUGUGUUGUUUUUAAAACGGAUUGGUUUAAGUUGCGACCGUUAUUCCAACCUUACAUGCGCAACCACUCUACCCUUAUAUGGGAAAGGGCAUUAUUGAUUACCUAGGCCGAUACUAGCUUGGAGCCUGCAUUACUAGUGACGGGAGAGUUGUUAUCGCGCUCUCUCGGGACGGGGUCGUGCCAGGUAGGGCGGCCAUGACUAUUUUCACAGGGCACCGGACACACCAUUGGUACCCCGUGCUUGUGGUAUGUGCUGAAUAUGGGAGCGAGGCUCCACAAUUUUAAGAUGUGAAAUGUUGGGCACGGGGGUUACUACCAAUCGAGUGGACUCUAUGUUAGUGUCGUCUAGGGAAAGAUAGUGAUCGGGUGCUUACCCCGGGUACUUGAGGUACCGCGGGUCGUGGAUGACACGGAAGUUCCCCGGAUCUUGUGGGUAAAGUGUGCAACCUCUGCAGAGUGUAAAACUAUUCGAAUAGCCGUGUACACGGUCAAGGACUGUUAGGUAACCGCUCUUGGGCUACGUCCACAUGUUUACAAACCAGUGGGUGUGUUUGGAUAAGUGGGAAGAACUACUUGGGUCAAGUCAAAGGACUUGACAUGAUUGAGUUGGGUUGAUGCCCACUCCAUUUAUGUUGAUAUCUGUAACCAGUCACUAUGGUUACUUGAAUUCGUAUGAUGCAUGUUUUACCAAUUGUUGAACAUGUCAAAGCACAACAAAACUAGCUUUCUGCAAAAAUUUACCUAUAUCAUGCAUUGUUGUAUCUUGAACCAAAACAUGGGUUGCUUGCGAGUACAUUCAAAGUACUCAUUGGCUUGCCACUGGUUAUUUUAUUGGCCAGGCAUGAAAGAACAGGAUAUAAUGAAGAGUACCUUGGUGACGAACUUGCGAGCUAGGACGCUUCCCAGUCAGAAUGCCUGUAGGGUUAAGGCAGAUGGCAUGGGUCCAAGUUAUCGACGAAGAUUUCCGCUGCGAAGUUAUACUCAAGACUUGACCAUAAUGGUCAUAAUUUAUGUAAGACGGUAUGUAUGGAUGUAAGACUCUUGUUAUACAGCUUCUGUGUGUUCAGUGAGCAUUGAUCUCUGG